This 525-nucleotide ribosomal RNA is filed under the name Metschnikowia pulcherrima. Its description in RNAcentral is "partial large subunit ribosomal RNA". It matches the Rfam family "Eukaryotic large subunit ribosomal RNA", at positions 35 to 550 of the family's 3401-position model. Lineage: Eukaryota; Fungi; Ascomycota; Pichiomycetes; Serinales; Metschnikowiaceae. The record is from RNAcentral.
UGCAGCAUAUCAAAAAGCGGAGGAAAAGAAACCAACAGGGAUUGCCUCAGUAACGGCGAGUGAAGCGGCAAAAGCUCAAAUUUGAAAUCCCCCGGGAAUUGUAAUUUGAAGAGAUUUGGGUCCGGCCGGCGGGGGUUAAGUCCACUGGAAAGUGGCGCCACAGAGGGUGACAGCCCCGUGAACCCCUUUAACGCCCUCAUCCCAGAUCUCCAAGAGUCGAGUUGUUUGGGAAUGCAGCUCUAAGUGGGUGGUAAAUUCCAUCUAAAGCUAAAUACCGGCGAGAGACCGAUAGCGAACAAGUACAGUGAUGGAAAGAUGAAAAGCACUUUGAAAAGAGAGUGAAAAAGUACGUGAAAUUGUUGAAAGGGAAGGGCUUGCAAGCAGACACUUAACUGGGCCAGCAUCGGGGCGGGCGGGGAAGCAAAACCCACCGGGGGAAGUACCUUUUGGAGGAUUUUAACCCGGGUCCUCAAUCUCCAUAGUCGCCCCGAGGCCUGCAAUCUAAAGACGAAGCGUCUCAAUAGG